This 242-nucleotide unclassified non-coding RNA is filed under the name uncultured Crocicreas. RNAcentral's name for it is "partial contains 5.8S ribosomal RNA, internal transcribed spacer 2, and large subunit ribosomal RNA". The stretch from base 1 to 52 matches the Rfam family "5.8S ribosomal RNA", at positions 103 to 154 of the family's 154-position model. Lineage: Eukaryota; Fungi; Ascomycota; Leotiomycetes; Helotiales; Helotiaceae. The record is from RNAcentral.
AACGCACAUUGCGCCCCGUGGUAUUCCGCGGGGCAUGCCUGUUCGAGCGUCAUUUAAACCAAUCCAGCUUGCUGGGUCUUGGGCUUUCGCCUCCGGGCGGGCCUCAAAAUCAGUGGCGGCGCCAUCCGGCUCUAAGCGUAGUAAUACUUCUCGCUACAGGGCUCCGGGCGGAAGCUGGCCAACUCAACCCCCAAUUUUCAAAGGUUGACCUCGGAUCAGGUAGGGAUACCCGCUGAACUUAA